This 434-nucleotide ribosomal RNA is filed under the name uncultured bacterium. RNAcentral describes it as "bacterial SSU rRNA". It matches the Rfam family "Bacterial small subunit ribosomal RNA", at positions 28 to 452 of the family's 1533-position model. The record is from RNAcentral.
GAUAAACGCUGGCGGCGCACAUAAGACAUACAAGUCGAACGGACUUAACCAUUAGUUUACUAUUGGAGCGGUUAGUGGCGGACUGGUGAGUAACACGUAAGCAACCUGCCUAUCAGAGGGGAACAACAGUUAGAAAUGACUGCUAAUACCGCAUAUGCCUAAGUACCACAUGGUACAAUAGGGAAAGGAGUAAUCCGCUGAUAGAUGGGCUUGCGUCUGAUUAGAUAGUUGGUGGGGUAAUGGCCUACCAAGUCGACGAUCAGUAGCCGGACUGAGAGGUUGAACGGCCACAUUGGGACUGAGAUACGGCCCAGACUCCUACGGGAGGCAGCAGUCGGGAAUAUUGCGCAAUGGAGGAAACGUACUGACGCAGUGACGCCGCGUGCAGGAAGAAGGUUUUCGGAUUGUAAACCUCUGUGGACAGGGACGAUAAU